RNAcentral lists this ribosomal RNA (253 nucleotides) under uncultured bacterium. Its description in RNAcentral is "partial 16S ribosomal RNA". It matches the Rfam family "Bacterial small subunit ribosomal RNA", at positions 524 to 776 of the family's 1533-position model. The record is from RNAcentral.
UACGGAGGGUGCGAGCGUUAGUCGGAAUAACUGGGCGUAAAGGGCACGCAGGAGGGCUUUUAAGUGAGAUGUGAAAUCCCCGGGCUUAACCUGGGAAUAGCAUUUCAGACUGGGAGUCUAGAGUGCUUUAGGGAGGAGUAGAAUUCCACGUGUAGCGGUGAAAUGCGUAGAGAUGUGGAGGAAUACCGAAGGCGAAGGCAGCCGCUUGGGAAUGUACUGACGCUCAUGUGCGAAAGCGUGGGGAGCAAACAGG